This 253-nucleotide ribosomal RNA is filed under the name uncultured bacterium. RNAcentral describes it as "partial 16S ribosomal RNA". It matches the Rfam family "Bacterial small subunit ribosomal RNA", at positions 524 to 776 of the family's 1533-position model. The record is from RNAcentral.
UACGUAGGGGGCAAGCGUUGUCCGGAUUUAUUGGGCGUAAAGAGCGUGUAGGCGGCCAUACAGGUCAGCUGUGAAAACUCGAGGCUCAACCUCGAGACGUCGGUUGAAACCGUAUGGCUAGAGUCCGGAAGAGGUGAGUGGAAUUCCCAGUGUAGCGGUGAAAUGCGUAGAUAUUGGGAGGAACACCAGUGGCGAAGGCGGCUCACUGGACCGGAACUGACGCUGAGGCGCGAAAGCGUGGGGAGCAAACGGG